This 1368-nucleotide ribosomal RNA is filed under the name Triticum aestivum (bread wheat). RNAcentral's name for it is "partial small subunit ribosomal RNA". The record is from RNAcentral. Lineage: Eukaryota; Viridiplantae; Streptophyta; Magnoliopsida; Poales; Poaceae.
AUGCCUGUGUCCUCCUCGUCCUCCGUCGAGCCGGACCACCACGCUACCCAAGGCGACACGGAGGGCGCCGUCUCGUUCCUGCGAAGGCAGCACGACGUCGACGCGGUGUGCGACAAGUACGGCGUCCCCAAGGACCGGUACACCGCGCUCCCCGCCGGCGACCUGCGCGCGAGCUCGCCCCCGCCGCCGGGGUGCGUCUGCGUGUAUGCGGAGGCGAUGGAGGCCGGGAUGCGCGUCCCGCUGCACGGCUUCUUCUGCGAUGUGCUCGCCCAUUUCGGCAUCGCGCCCACCCAGCUCGCGCCCAACGGGUGGCGCAUCUUGGCGGGCUUCCUGGUGCUCUGCCACUCCGCCGGCGUGCCGCCGUCGCUGCCCGUGUUCCGGUACUUCUUCCUGCUGUCCAUCGUCAACCACAAGCACAGAGGCUGCUACUUCUUCCGAUCCAGGGACACCUCCGGCCUGCGCUUCAAGGGGAUGCCGAGCUACAUCAAGGACUGGAAGAACUCGUUCUUCUUCCUGUCGUCGUCGGAGCCGUGGCCUUUCCCCGUGGAGUGGGGCGAGCCGUCCAAGAGCUCUUUCAUGGAGCCGGUACUUGACAGCGAGGGGAAGAAAUACGCGGCGAAGCUACUGCGCAGUUACGCCGGCGGCGCCGUUGACAUCAACACAUGCCUCUCCGACAGCAACCUUGCAGCCGCCAUGGCACCUGCCGCAUCUGCACCGCCGCCUUCUUUUACUCGCAUUGCUUCCGAUUCCAAAGGCAUGGAUCCCUCCGUCUACGAGAUGAUGAAGAAUAUGCUGGCGGAGAAGGUGGCCGCUCAGGCGUCGGCGUCGGCAAAGAAGGCGAAAGCCGAGCCGGACAGCCACGCGCCAGGGUCGCCGCCGUUGUGCGCAAAGAAGAGGAAUCUGGAGGAAGCCAACAGUGUGGAGGAGCCGCCUCGUUCUCUGCUGAACACGCCGCCGCUGUCCGGGAUGCGCUCGCCACCGCCGGGGUUCCCCAUCAGCCACGACGGAGACGGCACGGGCUGGGAGGCUGCACGGGAGCUGCUGCAGGGCGCCGUCGCGCCACCGCAGCACCGCGCGUUUGCGGCGAAUGAGCCGUCGGAUGUGGUCGCGGCGAGCUAUGUUGCGAUCCUCCAGGUAUGCCGUGCCAGCAAAUGCGGCGUCAAAUUCUUCACCGGUGGGCGGCAUGUCCGGAGUCUUCUGAUCGAUCAUUGUGAUUUGUGUGCAGGCGGCGAACUACGUGUCGACCUCCUUGGACUACGCGCUGGAGCUGGAAGAGAAGCUGGCGGCGCGGGACGCGGAGGUCGCGGCGCUAGAGAAGCAGCUGGCGGAGACGAAGGGCUAGCUCGCCGCGGCGAGGGCGGAGCGUGA